Molecule: ribosomal RNA, 227 nt
Filed under: uncultured bacterium
Lineage: Bacteria
Description: partial 16S ribosomal RNA
Rfam family: Bacterial small subunit ribosomal RNA
Source: RNAcentral
UGGGUAACCUACCUCAUACACAUGGAUAACACACCGAAAGGUAUGCUAAUACAAGAUGAUAUAAGAGAUUCGCAUGGAUUUCUUAUCAAAGCUCCGGCGGUAUGAGAUGGUCCCGCGUCUGAUUAGCUAGUUGGUAAGGUAACGGCUUACCAAGGCGACGAUCAGUAGCCGACCUGAGAGGGUGAUCGGCCACAUUGGAACUGAGACACGGUCCAAAUUCCGUAGGA